RNAcentral lists this ribosomal RNA (405 nucleotides) under uncultured bacterium. RNAcentral's name for it is "partial 16S ribosomal RNA". It matches the Rfam family "Bacterial small subunit ribosomal RNA", at positions 30 to 526 of the family's 1533-position model. The record is from RNAcentral.
AUUGAACGCUAGCGGGAUGCUUUACACAUGCAAGUCGAACGAGUGGCGGACGGGUGAGUAAUAUAUCGGAACGUGCCCAGCCGUGGGGGAUAACUACUCGAACGAGUGGAUACUACUGCAUACUAUUGGAGCGGCCGAUAUCGGAUGAGCUAGUUGGUGGGGUAAAGGCUCACCAAGGCGACGCUCCGUAGCUGGUUUGAGAGGACGACCAGCCACACUGGGACUGAGACACGGCCCAGACUCCUACGGGAGGCAGCAGUGGGGAAUGUUGGACAAUGGGGGAAACCCUGAUCCAGCAAUCCCGCGUGUAUGAGAAGGCCUUCGGGUUGUAAAGUACUUUUGUCAGAGAAGCGGUAUCUGCAGAAUAAGCACCGGCUAACUACGUGCCAGCCGCCGCGGUAAUUC